This 620-nucleotide ribosomal RNA is filed under the name Chaetodon xanthocephalus (yellowhead butterflyfish). RNAcentral's name for it is "partial small subunit ribosomal RNA". It matches the Rfam family "Bacterial small subunit ribosomal RNA", at positions 540 to 1446 of the family's 1533-position model. The record is from RNAcentral. Lineage: Eukaryota; Metazoa; Chordata; Actinopteri; Chaetodontiformes; Chaetodontidae.
UCAAGUUGACAGUCAUCGGCGUAAAGAGUGGUUAGGAUAAACAUAAACUAGAGCUAAAUGUCCUCAAAGCUGUUAUAAGCCCACGAGGAUAAGAAGCCCAACUACGAAAGUGGCUCUAUUAUAUCUGACCCCACGAAAGCUAGGGCACAAACUGGGAUUAGAUACCCCACUAUGCCUAGCCUUAAACAUUGACAGUUAACUACAACCACUGUCCGCCUGGGAACUACGAGCGCCAGCUUAAAACCCAAAGGACUUGGCGGUGCUUUAGACCCACCUAGAGGAGCCUGUUCUAGAACCGAUAAUCCCCGUUAAACCUCACCCUUCCUUGUCAUUUCCGCCUAUAUACCGCCGUCGUCAGCUUACCCUGUGAAGGCUUAACAGUAAGCGCAAUCGGCAAAGCCCAAAACGUCAGGUCGAGGUGUAGCGAAUGGAAGGGGAAGAAAUGGGCUACAUUUACUGGCACAGUAAAUACGGAUGAUUACCCUGCAACGAGUAUCUGAAGGAGGAUUUAGCAGUAAGCAAAAAGCAGAGUGUUUUGCUGAAAUUGGCCCUGAAGCGCGUACACACCGCCCGUCACCCUCUCCGAGCUAAGACUUUAAACAUAACUAAUAUGCUAUAAC